This 553-nucleotide ribosomal RNA is filed under the name uncultured bacterium. RNAcentral's name for it is "partial 16S ribosomal RNA". It matches the Rfam family "Bacterial small subunit ribosomal RNA", at positions 355 to 898 of the family's 1533-position model. The record is from RNAcentral.
UAGGGAAUCUUCGGCAAUGGACGAAAGUCUGACCGAGCAACGCCGCGUGAGUGAAGAAGGUUUUCGGAUCGUAAAACUCUGUUGGUAGAGAAGAACGUUGGUGAGAGUGGAAAGCUCAUCAAGUGACGGUAACUACCCAGAAAGGGACGGCUAACUACGUGCCAGCAGCCGCGGUAAUACGUAGGUCCCCGAGCGUUGUCCGGAUUUAUUGGGCGUAAAGCGAGCGCAGGUGGUUUAUUAAGUCUGGUGUAAAAGGCAGUGGCUCAACCAUUGUAUGCAUUGGAAACUGGUAGACUUGAGUGCAGGAGAGGAGAGUGGAAUUCCAUGUGUAGCGGUGAAAUGCGUAGAUAUAUGGAGGAACACCGGUGGCGAAAGCGGCUCUCUGGCCUGUAACUGACACUGAGGCUCGAAAGCGUGGGGAGCAAACAGGAUUAGAUACCCUGGUAGUCCACGCCGUAAACGAUGAGUGCUAGAUGUAGGGAGCUAUAAGUUCUCUGUAUCGCAGCUAACGCAAUAAGCACUCCGCCUGGGGGAGUACGACCGCAAGGUUGAA